ACGGGGGAUUAGGGUUCGAUUCCGGAGAGGGAGCCUGAGAAACGGCUACCACAUCUAAGGAAGGCAGCAGGCGCGCAAAUUACCCAAUUCUAACAGCAUAAGAGAGGUAGUGACAAGAAAUAACAAUACAAGGCAGUAAAAAUGCUUUGUAAUUGGAAUGAUAGAAAUUUAAACACUUUUUAAAGUAUCAAUUGGAGGGCAAGUCUGGUGCCAGCAGCCGCGGUAAUUCCAGCUCCAAUAGCGUAUAUUAAAAUUGUUGCAGUUAAAAAGCUCGUAGUUGAAUUUUUGUUAAAAAUAACCGGUCUGCUUUUAAUAAAAGUGGUAUCUUGGUGUGUUUUUAGCAAUAAUGUCCUUUGAAAUGUUUUUUACUUUAUUGUAAUAAAUUAUUUUCAGGAUUUUUACUUUGAGAAAAUUAGAGUGUUUCUAGCAAGCUUAUGCUUUGAAUACUGCAGCAUGGAAUAAUAAAAUAGGAUUUUAGUUCUAUAUUAUUGGUUUUAAGAACUAAAUUAAUGAUUGAUAGGGACAGUUGGGGGCAUUUGUAUUUAACUGUC
RNAcentral lists this ribosomal RNA (551 nucleotides) under Hepatozoon sp. Its description in RNAcentral is "bacterial SSU rRNA". It matches the Rfam family "Eukaryotic small subunit ribosomal RNA", at positions 362 to 906 of the family's 1831-position model. Lineage: Eukaryota; Apicomplexa; Hepatozoidae. The record is from RNAcentral.